UAGGGAAUCUUCGGCAAUGGACGAAAGUCUGACCGAGCAACGCCGCGUGAGUGAAGAAGGUUUUCGGAUCGUAAAACUCUGUUGUUAGAGAAGAACAAGGACGUUAGUAACUGAACGUCCCCUGACGGUAUCUAACCAGAAAGCCACGGCUAACUACGUGCCAGCAGCCGCGGUAAUACGUAGGUGGCAAGCAUUGUCCGGAUUUAUUGGGCGUAAAGCGAGCGCAGGCGGUUUCUUAAGUCUGAUGUGAAAGCCCCCGGCUCAACCGGGGAGGGUCAUUGGAAACUGGGAGACUUGAGUGCAGAAGAGGAGAGUGGAAUUCCAUGUGUAGCGGUGAAAUGCGUAGAUAUAUGGAGGAACACCAGUGGCGAAGGCGGCUCUCUGGUCUGUAACUGACGCUGAGGCUCGAAAGCGUGGGGAGCAAACA
RNAcentral lists this ribosomal RNA (427 nucleotides) under uncultured bacterium. RNAcentral describes it as "partial 16S ribosomal RNA". It matches the Rfam family "Bacterial small subunit ribosomal RNA", at positions 355 to 774 of the family's 1533-position model. The record is from RNAcentral.